GCAUAUCAAUAAGCGGAGGAAAAGAAACCAACAGGGAUUGCCCUUAGUAACGGCGAAGUGAAGCGGCAACAGCUCAAAUUUGAAAUCUGGCUCUUUCAGGGUCCGAGUUGUAAUUUGCAGAGGGCGCUUUGGCUUUGGCAGCGGUCCAAGUUUCCUUGGAACAGGACGUCACAGAGGGUGAGAAUCCCGUACGUGGUCGCUAGCUAUUGCCGUGUAAAGCCCCUUCGACGAGUCGAGUUGUUUGGGAAUGCAGCUCUAAAUGGGAGGUAAAUUUCUUCUAAAGCUAAAUACUGGCCAGAGACCGAUAGCGCACAAGUAGAGUGAUCGAAAGAUGAAAAGCACUUUGGAAAGAGAGUCAAACAGCACGUGAAAUUGUUGAAAGGGAAGCGCUUGCAGCCAGACUUGCUUGCAGUUGCUCAUCCGGGCUUUUGCCCGGUGCACUCUUCUGCAGGCAGGCCAGCAUCAGUUUGGGCGGUGGGAUAAAGGUCUCUGUCACGUACCUCUCUUCGGGGAGGCCUUAUAGGGGAGACGACAUACCACCAGCCUGGACUGAGGUCCGCGCAUUCGCUAGGAUGCUGGCGUAAUGGCUGUAAGCGGCCCGUCUUGAAACACGGACCAAGGAGUCUAACAUCUAUGCGAGUGUUUGGGUGUCAAGCCCGAACGCGUAAUGAAAGUGAACGGAGGUGGGAACCCGCAAGGGUGCACCAUCGACCGAUCCUGAUGUCUUCGGAAGGAUUUGAGUAAGAGCAUGGCUGUUGGGACCCGAAAGAUGGUGAACUAUGCUUGAAUAGGGUGAAGCCAGAGGAAACUCUGGUGGAGGCUCGCAGCGGUUUCUGACGUGCAAAUCGAUUCGUCAAAUUUGGGCAUAGGGGGCGAAAGACUAAUCGAACUAUCUAGUAGCUGGUUCCUGCCGA
RNAcentral lists this ribosomal RNA (914 nucleotides) under Pyrenophora lolii. Its description in RNAcentral is "LSU rRNA". It matches the Rfam family "Eukaryotic large subunit ribosomal RNA", at positions 38 to 964 of the family's 3401-position model. Lineage: Eukaryota; Fungi; Ascomycota; Dothideomycetes; Pleosporales; Pleosporaceae. The record is from RNAcentral.